AUUGAACGCUGGCGGCAGGCCUAACACAUGCAAGUCGAGCGAGCGGCGGACGGGUGAGUAAUGUAUGGGGACUGCCCGAUAGAGGGGGAAAACUACUGGAAACGGUGGCUAAUACCGCAUAAUAUCGGUUAAGCCAGAGUGGAUUAGCUAGUAGGUGGGGUAAAGGCGCACCUAGGCGACGAUCUCUAGCUGGUCUGAGAGGAUGAUCAGCCACACUGGGACUGAGACACGGCCCAGACUCCUACGGAGUCAGCAGUGGGGAAUAUUGCACAAUGGGCGCAAGCCUGAUACAGCCAUGCCGCGUGUAUGAAGAAGGCCUUAGGGUUGUAAAGUACUUUCAGCAGGGAGGCGUUACCCGCAGAAGAAGCACCGGCUAACUCCGUGCCAGCAGCCGCGGUAAUUC
This 403-nucleotide ribosomal RNA is filed under the name uncultured bacterium. RNAcentral's name for it is "partial 16S ribosomal RNA". It matches the Rfam family "Bacterial small subunit ribosomal RNA", at positions 30 to 526 of the family's 1533-position model. The record is from RNAcentral.